CUACCCCGCUGAACUUAAGCAUAUCAAUAAGCGGAGGAAAAGAAACCAACCGGGGGUGCCUCAGUAACGGCGAGUGAAGCGGCAGAUGAUCAAAUUUGAAAUCUGGCCCCUCCGGGGUCCGAGUCGUAAUUUGGGAGGAGGAUGCUUCGGCGUCGCGGCCCCCGUCUAAGUGCUCUGGAACGGGCCAUCGGAGAGGGUGACAAUCCCGUCUGGGAGGGGGUGCCCGCGUCCGUGUGAAGCUCCUUCGACGAGUCGAGUUGUUUGGGAAUGCAGCUCUCAAUGGGUGGUAAAUUUCAUCUAAAGCUAAAUACCGGCCGGAGACCGAUAGCGCACAAGUAGAGUGAUCGAAAGAUGAAAAGCACUUUGAAAAGAGAGUUAAACAGCACGUGAAAUUGUUGAAAGGGAAGCACUGGCAACCAGACUCGCCCACGGGGUUCAGCCGGCCUUCGGGCCGGUGUACUUCCCCGGGGGCGGGCCAGCGUCGGUUUGGGCGGCCUGGUUAAAGGCCCCCGGAAAUGUAACGUCCCUCGGGGCGCCUUAUAGCCGGGGGUGUCAUGCGGCCAGCCUGGACCGAGGAACGCGCUUCGGCACGGACGCUGGCAUAAUGGUUGUCAAUGACCCGUCUUGAAACACGGACCAAG
This 641-nucleotide ribosomal RNA is filed under the name Ganoderma sp. M3. Its description in RNAcentral is "eukaryotic LSU rRNA". It matches the Rfam family "Eukaryotic large subunit ribosomal RNA", at positions 24 to 670 of the family's 3401-position model. The record is from RNAcentral. Lineage: Eukaryota; Fungi; Basidiomycota; Agaricomycetes; Polyporales; Polyporaceae.